This 262-nucleotide ribosomal RNA is filed under the name Philine orca. RNAcentral's name for it is "partial 16S ribosomal RNA". Lineage: Eukaryota; Metazoa; Mollusca; Gastropoda; Cephalaspidea; Philinidae. The record is from RNAcentral.
UUGACUUUUAAAUGAAGUCUGGAAUGAAGGGAUUAACGGGGUUUAACUGUCUCAAAUAUUUUAUUAUGAAUUUACUAAUUAGGUGAAAAGGCCUAAAAAAGAAAAAAGACGAGAAGACCCUUAGAGUUUAUAUUUAUAAUUAUUUUGCUGGGGCGGCAUAGAAUCAGAAUAAACAUUCUUAAUAGGCAUAUGACGGAUUUUUCAUGAUUAGAUAAACUACCUGAGGGAUAACAGCAUAAUCUUUUAAGGUUUGUGACCUCGA